Molecule: long non-coding RNA, 150 nt
Organism: Etheostoma spectabile (orangethroat darter)
Lineage: Eukaryota; Metazoa; Chordata; Actinopteri; Perciformes; Percidae
Exons: 3
Source: RefSeq, a predicted model, not a curated record
AGCAGCAAAAACAGAACCUUUAGUGGACCAAACUGACGUUGCACAUUUGCCCCAUAGGGUUACACUGCAGCACGGUCUGUGGCUGCCACUUACAGUGUGCACGCUUCAUACUGGACCAAUUUAAAGAGUGUUGUUCCCAUCAGUCAUUUA